UAGGGAAUCUUCCGCAAUGGGCGAAAGCCUGACGGAGCAACGCCGCGUGAGUGAUGAAGGUCUUCGGAUCGUAAAACUCUGUUAUUAGGGAAGAACAAAUGUGUAAGUAACUAUGCACGUCUUGACGGUACCUAAUCAGAAAGCCACGGCUAACUACGUGCCAGCAGCCGCGGUAAUACGUAGGUGGCAAGCGUUAUCCGGAAUUAUUGGGCGUAAAGCGCGCGUAGGCGGUUUUUUAAGCCUGAUGUGAAAGCCCACGGCUCAACCGUGGAGGGUCAUUGGAAACUGGAAAACUUGAGUGCAGAAGAGGAAAGUGGAAUUCCAUGUGUAGCAGUGAAAUGCGCAGAGAUAUGGAGGAACACCAGUGGCGAAGGCGACUUUCUGGUCUGUAACUGACGCUGAUGUGCGAAAGCGUGGGGAUCAAACAGG
This 429-nucleotide ribosomal RNA is filed under the name Actinomycetes bacterium. Its description in RNAcentral is "Actinobacteria bacterium partial 16S ribosomal RNA". It matches the Rfam family "Bacterial small subunit ribosomal RNA", at positions 355 to 776 of the family's 1533-position model. Lineage: Bacteria; Bacillati; Actinomycetota; Actinomycetes. The record is from RNAcentral.